AAAUAAGUCUAAGUAGAGUAAUACAUUAAAAGGGGCUAUUUGAAUAAUACAAACGCAAGAAAGCAAAGAAGUCCAUCUGCUCUUAUUUCUACUUUUGGUCCAGGCGCUUGGAUGGCCCGAUUCUCUCAACAGUCCGUUAGCCCACUUCUAUACCCGGUCCAGCCCUUUCAGCCACCAAAACGACACCGUUCCAGUCCCAAUUAAUCUCUGCCGUCCAUCAGAUCUCAUCUGACGACAGAGACUGUCCUAAAAUACCUCAUUUCUAACCUAAUACACUCUCCUUCCUCUCUAUCAUCAGCCGCCACCAAUCACCCCACCUGAAAUCGCUCAGUUGAGCGUGCCACCCUAAAACCGCCGUUGACCACCGUUGACCAUCGCCGGAGUCAGCCAAACGACGUGAAACCACCAUGUUUCUUCUCCUCUUUUUCUCCUCUACAUCAUCAUAAUAAGAUCGUACUCCCAUUUCGACCCCGCCAUUACCCCAUAGAAAUACUUAAUCCAUUCGGCCCUGCUCCGAUUACCUUGACCUUUAAUACCGGCAUACCUCUACACAUAUAUCAUUAGAUAGAUCUUAAAAAGAUCUAUUCAAUGAUAUAAGUAUUAGGGUAUUUCAAAGUUCAAGUCCUGGCUAAAUCUUGCUGAAACUACUUCUGGCAUUUCACUUAGAGGUCAACAGGUAAUUCUAUUUCUUUUUCUCCUCAAAUGAGUAGUUUUUUCUCUUUUCCAGUUUGUCAAAAGGCAUAUGCUCCUCUAUUAGUUUGUUUUCUCAUAUGUUUAGCAUAUUUUAGAUAGUUUAGGACUUAAUAACAAUUAAUUCUGUGCUUUCAUGAUUAUAGUUGUGUUUAAUUGCAUGUUUAAAUUAGUUCAUUAGUAUUUUUAGGUUUAUUUGAUUUCCGGUUGGAAUUUUUCUUUUUCUUCUGUAACUGUUACUUCAAUUUGGGUUGGUAUUUGUUUUGUUUGAUUGGGGGCCUGUCUUGUUUGACAUGCAGGCCCAUUAGGUGUGAAAGUUCAGGAGACGAGUUUGGGUAUGGGCCUGGUGGUCAGAUGGCCCAAGUCUUUUGGUACCCGUGAGGUUAAUAAAGAAGGUUGAGUUUAGGAAUUAAACUUGAGAAAUAUUUUCUGUAACUGUUUUAGAAAGUUCUAGGAGAUAGGAAAGGGUUAAACAUCAAUAAAGAAGAUAUAGAGGUUGGGGUUUGAAAGAGUAAUAAACAGAAUUUAGAAGGAGUAAAAAGAAAAGGAAAUAACUAAAAAUACAGCCUCUAUUCUGUUACAAAAUAGUACCCCCCCCCCCAACCACCACACACACACACACACUUUAGAGAUUAUCAUUUAUUCACUCUCACUCAGCUCACACAGAAUUCAUACAUACUCAUUCCUUCCUUCACACGCACCUUCUUAAUUUGCAAAGGCUGAAAAUAAUUUUUCUGCAUUCAAAUUUGAAUUCCAGAUUUGAAAAGAAAAAAAAAACUCCAAAAAAAUAACAAACAAAAACAAUUCAGAAAAAGGCUGUAGUUGGUUCUGUGGUUUCAAAAAUAAUUUCCUCUGCAUUUCUGGGUUUUGAAGACAUUUCAGCUUGGAAUUUCUGUUGUUUGUUGCUGUUCUUUGUCAAUUAGUAGCUGAGCUUCAGUUUGUAGCUAUGUUUAGCCUUUAUUUGGCCAUUUAAGAUCUACUUGCUGCUUGCACCCAAGGGUGUGGCCUAGUGGUCAAUGAAGUGGGUGAGAAUCUUGAGGUCUCAGUUCAAAUCCCAGCUUCUUCCCAUCUAUCCAAGCCUUGGUGGAUAGAGUUACCUGUUGCUGGUGUGAGGUGGGAGGUAUCCCGUGGAAUUAGUCGAGGUGCGCGCAAGCUGGCCCGGACACCACGGUUAUAAAAAAAAAAAAGAUCUACUUGCUUCUUUUAAGGUACUGAUUUCCGCCACCUCCGAUGUAACAGUUGUUUGAAUUUUAUAUUACCAUCAAGCUUGUAAUCAUAGGCUACUUAUGUGUUCUGUAAAUGUUCCUUGGGGUACUUAGUCAUUUAUGGGUUUGAUAAAUACUCUCUUCUAUGUCUAUUUGCCAGAUUAGAACUAGAUUGGAGUUUUAGUGUACAAAACUAGUAUAAAUAUGAGCAUAAAUUGUUCAUGCUAUAAUGAUCAUGAAGGCAUUUUUAAAUUAUAAUGGUUGACCAGUUAAAAUAGAGCUAGAAUUGAGAUUUUCAGGUUGAAUCGAAGCUGCAGAAAUGUCCAUUUCCAGCAGUAAUGUAUUUGUCAGUGUUAGAUAGAUCUGGAAAUUUGAAGAAGAAAUAUGAAAAAGUUCGUUUGUAUAAUGAUUUGAUCUCAGUUAUGUUGAUAUUUAGUCUAUGGUUCAAAGACUAUUUUUCUGUAUAGUUUGUGUAAAAUGAGUUUAAAACAGGUUUGUAAUAACUCCGUUCAUCAAUGAUUGUAACUAAUCAGUAGGUCAAUAAAUGUUGUUCAUAUUAUUUUCGUUUUGUGUUAAUUGAUUUAUUCCUACUUUUGAUCGUGUAUAUGAUGUUGGAU
This 2512-nucleotide long non-coding RNA is filed under the name Nicotiana tabacum (common tobacco). RNAcentral's name for it is "long non-coding RNA (NTAB_LNC005124)". Lineage: Eukaryota; Viridiplantae; Streptophyta; Magnoliopsida; Solanales; Solanaceae. The record is from RNAcentral.